Molecule: ribosomal RNA, 271 nt
Filed under: uncultured soil bacterium
Lineage: Bacteria
Description: partial 16S ribosomal RNA
Rfam family: Bacterial small subunit ribosomal RNA
Source: RNAcentral
AGAAUCAACGCUGGCGGCGUGCCUAACACAUGCAAGUCGAACGCGAAAGGGGCUUCGGCCCUGAGUAGAGUGGCAAACGGGUGAGUAACACGUGGGUGACCUGCCUCAGAGUGGGGGAUAACGUCCCGAAAGGGACGCUAAUACCGCAUAACAUCCUGCCUUUGGAAAGCGGAGAUCAAAGCCGGGGAUCGCAAGACCUGGCGCUUGGAGAGGGGCCCGCGUCUGAUUAGCUAGUUGGUAGGGUAAUGGCCUACCAAGGCAACGAUCAGUA